AAGUCGUAACAAGGUUUCCGUAGGUGAACCUGCGGAAGGAUCAUUACAAAUCCACAAGUCACCCUUACCGGUUGACAACGUUGAACCCCAACCCCUCGGCGCAAGCCUUGAGGACCCUAUUUGACCCCAUGUUGACACUAAAUAUCACGAAUGUACCAACAAUCACAACCUAGAAACAACUUAUAACAAUGGAUCUCUAGGCUCUU
This 206-nucleotide unclassified non-coding RNA is filed under the name fungal sp. RNAcentral's name for it is "partial internal transcribed spacer region". The stretch from base 1 to 46 matches the Rfam family "Eukaryotic small subunit ribosomal RNA", at positions 1786 to 1831 of the family's 1831-position model. The record is from RNAcentral. Lineage: Eukaryota; Fungi.